Molecule: ribosomal RNA, 513 nt
Filed under: uncultured bacterium
Lineage: Bacteria
Description: partial 16S ribosomal RNA
Rfam family: Bacterial small subunit ribosomal RNA
Source: RNAcentral
GAUGAACGCUGGCGGCGUGCCUAAUACAUGCAAGUCGAACGCACAGCGAAAGGUGCUUGCACCUAUCAAGUGAGUGGCGAACGGGUGAGUAACACGUGGACAACCUGCCUCAAGGCUGGGGAUAACAUUUGGAAACAGAUGCUAAUACCGAAUAAAACUCAGUGUCGCAUGACACAAAGUUAAAAGGCGCUUUGGCGUCACCUAGAGAUGGAUCCACGGUGCAUUAGUUAGUUGGUGGGGUAAAGGCCUACCAAGACAAUGAUGCAUAGCCGAGGUGAGAGACUGAUCGGCCGCAUUGGGACUGAGACACGACGCAAACUCCUACGGUAGGCUGCAGUAGGAAAUCUUCCACCAUGGGCGAAAGCCUGAUGGGGCAACGCCGCGUGUAUGAUGAAGGCUUUCGGGUCGUAAAGAACUGUUGUAUGGGAAGAACAGCUAGAAUAGGGAAUGAUUUUAGUUUGACGGUACCAUACCAGAAAGGGACGGCUAAAUACGUGCCAGCCGCCGCCGUAA